GACGAACGCUGGCGGCGUGCUUAACACAUGCAAGUCGAACGGAAAGGCCCUGCUUUUGUGGGGUGCUCGAGUGGCGAACGGGUGAGUAACACGUGAGUAACCUGCCCUUGACUUUGGGAUAACUUCAGGAAACUGGGGCUAAUACCGGAUAGGAGCGCCUGCUGCAUGGGGGGGGUUGGAAAGUUUCGGCGGUUGGGGAUGGACUCGCGGCUUAUCAGCUUGUUGGUGGGGGAGUGGCUUACCAAGGCUUUGGCGGGUAGCCGGCCUGGGAGGGUGACCGGCCACAUUGGGACUGGGAUACGGCCCGGACUCCUCCGGGGGGCAGCAGUGGGGAAUAUUGCACAAUGGGGGGAACCCUGAUGCAGCAACGCCGCGGGCGGGAUGACGGCCUUCGGGUUGUAAACCGCUUUCGCCUGUGACGAAGCGGGAGUGACGGUAAUGGGUAAAGAAGCACCGGCUAACUACGUG
RNAcentral lists this ribosomal RNA (468 nucleotides) under uncultured bacterium. Its description in RNAcentral is "partial 16S ribosomal RNA". It matches the Rfam family "Bacterial small subunit ribosomal RNA", at positions 28 to 507 of the family's 1533-position model. The record is from RNAcentral.